CGCAAUUACUCAGCAAGACUUACCCGACUAAAGAAAAGACUCCCAAGGGUAUGUUGGUUUGUCGGGAAUUAAGGUAAAGCUUAUCGAAUUUCAAAGACACGUUUUCGCAGAAAAGCUUACUAGUAGUGGAUCCUUAUGCCAAACUUUUACUUCACAAAUUAAGUAUUUUUCCUGAAUUUAGAUUUGCCUAAUCUAGAGCAUUCACUUGUCCUACACUAGCUUCAUUUUAGCAGCUUUAGUUUCACUUGUUAUCUACGAUGCAGGGCAGUGAUCCAGUCUUCAUAUCCGAGAAGUAACGGCGAUCCGAAUCGAUUAAUACUCAGCUGAGGAUCUCCAACCACACGAUAUAUGUAGCACUUAACCCUUGCAUAUGUCAACUCGCCCACGGGUUUCUCAAGACCAGAACGGGUUCACGCGACCCGAGAGCACAGCACUCCACCAUCCAGCCAUUGGCCUGGUUGGUACACGUUACUCUCGCCAUGGUGCCCGCCAUGUUUCUGAGAGUACAGCACCCCACCUUCCAGCCGUUGGCCUAGUUGGUACACGUUACUCUCGCCAUGGUGCCCGCCAUGUUUCCGAGAGUACAGCACCCCACCUUCCAGUCUCUUGCCACGGAGGGUACAAGCUACUCUCGCCAUCUCUCCACUCCCAGUGCGUGCGAGCUGUUCUGGUAUUGGUCCGACCGAGGCAAAGCUUACCCAUGAUGAGGCAUGUGGCCAGUUAAAGGGUCCUAGAUCAGCAGGCCAACAAUCAGAACUGUCCUUAAGCGACACAGACGGGCGACCUUUCCUGCUCAACGUCUAGUCUCAUCUUAUUAUUUAACACCCAAACCAUGUACCUGACAGAGGUACCAUACUUGAAUGAUGAAUUCAUCACUGCAGAUGAUGCGCUCACCAUUACAAGUCCUUUUUCAUAAAACAAACCCAUACCCAGUGUCACACAUCAUUCUUUUAAAAAGAAACAAGUUUUAAUUCUCUAGGCAGGGCUAAGCCUCAUUAGUUCUUUUUGUAAAACAGGUAUCAAGGAGGAUAAUCAAAUUCCAAGGAAUGGCAAUGCAUCAACUGUUUCAUCACUCAACUCCUAUCACCUAAUGCAGCAUAUAAGUGAUAAAAGUUUUAAAACAACAAGGAGGUGGCAAAUGCACCGGGGCUUGCCUGAAAUAAACACUAUGUUAGUGUUGUUAGAUGAAGGCCACUUGACGAUCAACUUUCGUUUUGACAUCCGCUUAGUCCAUCCAUCUUCAGGCUCAUUGGCCGACAUCGUCUUGUGGGUUGUUUUGAUCCACACCCUUCGCUUCGCACGAUUUUCAGCUAGCGUACCUAAUUAGAUGUACAAUGCACAUGUAUAAACAUAAGGAAGAAUAACACAACAUAUUACACACAAUAAAGAAUUAAGCACAAUGACGAGGCGCUGCAACACUUGUGAGAAAAUACUAGAUGCCAACAAAUGACUAAGUACAACAAGGACGGCCAUGGGUUCUAACCCAAACAUCGAGAAACUUUAAACGAAUACAAGUCCUAUCGUACUUAGGUAGAGUAUAAUACAAAAGAUUCAUCCGAUUAAAUUCACUAUAACUAGCUUCUAGGACUAACAUAUGGAGAGAAGCAAACUAACACAUUUAACAUAAUUAACCUAAACAGACUUAUCAGUUAAUUAUUGAAAUGCUACAUUUAUUUCUCGCAUUAUUAUUGAUACCACACAUCGCUCGUGCAGAACUAAUUUAGUUUUUACUUCAUAUUACUAAUUUCACCAUACUUACACAAAUCUGAAUAGUCGCAACUCAUUUACAUUCACCAAAGUAUUUACCUCCUCCUUAAUUCAAUCAAGUCUAAAGCAAACAUUUAGAAAGAAUGAACUGACCAUAUAUAACAAAGAAUUUGGAUAAACACUUCACAUGCAACAAAUUUUCAUCAAUCAAGGAUCAAGGAUUGACUAAUCCUUCCCAGGCAAACAAAAAUGACACCAAGGAAUCAGUUUAACACAUGCAGAUUUUCUAGACAGCAGCACAGUGGUUAACUGUUUUAUUCAUAACUUACACAAUAUUCAUCCAAAAAUAGUAAACUAAGACUUUUUGAAAAGAUUAUAAAGUCUUCUACAAUUUUGGUAUUAUCAUCACAGUGAGAUUUGACAUAUAGAAAUAUCAAACAGUACUAAACGCAAUUUCUGUUCAGAUUUGGACAGAAUUCGACUACUCGCUUCAAAAAUCCAUAACCGGAGUUUCAGAAAUCCAAAUCAGGUGAUCCUAGACUUUUUAGAAAGCUAGUAGAAUUGUCUACAAUUUAUUUGUAAACAUCUCAGGGUGAUUCAAUGUGUAUCGAAGUCAGUUAAUACAAACAAACAUUGCUGUCCAGAUUUGGACAGAUUCAGACAUCACAUUUCAAACAGCCAUAACCUGACUUCUAGAUCACCAAAAAGGGUGAUCCAAAUUUUGUUGGGAGGCUUAAGAAAAGUACUAAAAUUCUUCUAUAAUUACUAAAGACUGGUUCUCAUUUUAACUUAGCCAAAAAAUGCAAUUUUCGAAACCUGUCCAGAAUUGGGACAGAUUCUGAAACUGGACUUGGAAAAAUCAUAACUCCUAAACUACUAGUCCUAUGGUUAUGAAAUUUUAGCACAAGUAAGAUGAAGAGGUUAGCUACAACUUUUCUAUAUAACACUUUCACAGAAAACAUGAUUUACUUCACUCAAUUAGUUGCACAAUCAAAACUGUACGUGCAGGUUUGGACAGCAAUACCGUCAUCACUUAUUUUAACCAUAACCAUGAAUACAAUCAUGUCACUAUCCACGAAGAGGUAUCACCACUAACUCAUGAUGCAUAUAUAUUCACCAAACACAUCUAUUCAAUUCAUCUAACAAUUCAAUCAAUACUAAUAAUGAAUUAGCUUACCAACACUAAAUAGACUCAGAUUUCGCAAGAGCAACAAGGAUCUUCGGUUCAUCCAUUCCAUCAAACACCUAGAGCGCGUCGAACUGAAACACGGUUUCUUCUCCAUUGAUUUUCCCUAGAACUCUCUUCCAAUCUCACACAUAAACACAUAGAGUUUCACAAGCGUCAUGACAUGGACAACAAACUGAAAUCAAAAUACAACACGCAAGGUCUAGGGAAACAAUAAAAAGAUUCGGAGCUCACCACUUGACGAAAGGGAGGGGGCUGGCGCUUGGGCUUUCAUUCAUGGAGAACAAAAGAAAAAGGGGAAGCUGCUGCUGCAGAAUUAGAGGAGGGCUACUGCUCCACGGAAGAACAGAGAGGAGGCUGGGCACAGAGGGAGGGCGAGCAGGGGAAGGAGGUGCCAUGGCUGCUGGCGUGGGGAGAAACCAGGGAGCAGAGAGGGGCUGGGCGAGCUCAGUUUGGGGAGGAAGAUGAGGGAGGGGCGGCCAUGGAAACCUAGGGCAGUGGAGGGAGCUCACCAUGGAAGAAGCUGCAGACGGCCAUGGGAAGGAAGCACGGCGUGCUUGCAGCUGACAUGGGGAGGGACUCGGCUGGUGCAGCGGCCAUGGAGGCGAGGAGAUGGCUGGGCGAGCAGGGAGGGCGCGGCUGGCGAGCUGGAGCCGGGGAGAAACCAGAGCAAGGACAGCCGGCGUGGAGGCUAAGGCCGUCGGCCUGGGAAGAAGAUGGCGUGUAGGAGUUUGGUUGGGACGUGGCUGAUAAGCUUUGCAUCCUGGGCAUGCUGCGUAUGGCUGAGUGGAUGAGCUACGGUGGUUUCCAGGGAACAAACGUGUCUGAUGCUCAGAACAAUAAAGGGUGUGGUGGUUGAGGUUAAAAUCGAAGAAAUAUCUUCAUUCUCUUUUCCUCCACCAAGCAAUAUCUAAUUUACUCCACGAUUCUUAUUUUUGCACACCAACUAAUCCUAGAUUUAAAUCUUAAGACUAUGGCACAACUCGAUUUGAAUUUAAACUACCAAAGUUUUGAAUAGUUAGUAUUUGUCUAAAUUUUAAAUCCAAACAUACGCUAGUCUGAGUUAAUGUGGCACGAGCCACAAAAACCUAACAUAAGUUCUUGCGUUACGAUUUAGACGAAAAACAAAUAGACCGGAUUAAAACGAAAUUUAGGCUACACAUAAUAAAUUUUCAUAGCUACUGAAACAGAUUAAUUAUGAAUACUGGGUCCUGGCAGUAAUUAUCUCAGCCCUAUUUAAUUUUGCAUCAAUAUUGUUAUCGUCGAGUUCUAAUAAUAUUUGCUUGGGCCAAAAUCGCAAGAGUGAGUCGAGAUUCCAAAUUCAUGUUCUCUUAAUCCUUAAAUUUUGAAUAGACACCAGACUCGACAUAUCGCGAAAUAAAUACGCGAGAUCGAUGUGGCAUCGAAAUUGUGAUCCUUUCGGAAGCGAUGUCACGCAUCGUUCACGGGGCGAGAGGUUGGGCGCUGUCCAGACGCCGGUUAGCACCCGCCACACGCGUCACGAUGUCAGGCCACAGAGAGACACGUGCAACGCAAGCGUGAAAGAAUUUCAAAUGCAGUUUAAGAAACUAGAUCCGAUUUCCAGAAUUAAAGUUUGGGCAAGACGUUGAUGGCUUAACCCAAACGAUACUGGAUUCGAUGUUCCGAAAAUUACUGAAGUCUGAAUUUUUGCGAAAUAAUUUAGGACAAUUUAAACAGAUGGAGACAGACACGAUAUCGAAAUCGUGAUCGGCGAAGAUGAUUAAAAUUUAGUGUCCAUUUUAUUCACCGCUAUCACAUGUUAAAGUCUGCGCUCGUGGUCGAGCAGACGAUAAACACCUGGGGUGUUACAACCCUCCCCCUUAAAAGAAUCUCGUCCCGAGAUUCGGAACGAAAGACUUUUAAGAGUAGAGAAGCAUGUGACCCUUGUCCAUAUCAGCGAUAGCAUACAACUACUUUGGGAUGAAUCCAAUAUCACAUUCUUAAACAAGAGAUCACGCAUUUGGGUAGAAAUCCAUUUGGUCAUGUUGUUCAUCUGUUUCUUCAUGUGAGAUGAAAUGACAUGGUUUGGGAAUACAUAGAUUAAAUAAGAGAGUGAAUGAACAUACUCCUACAUCUCAGCAGCAGGGAAAAUCAAUUCCCCAUUUUGAAAACUAAUUAGCUGUCUUUCAACACUAAAAAGCUUCAAGGCUUCACCUUUACACAAAGGACGUAAAGGAAACUUGUAUGUGUAGUCACCACCAAAAUCAAGAGAAAAGAGACCACACAUGAAAGGGGUGAAUUUUUUUUAACACACGGUUAGACACAAAUAGGUUUUGAUUUUUGUUGGAGAUUUCUGAAUGGGUAGAAAAUUUACCAAGGAAUACAUUAGAGUUAUACACUCUUUUGAUCCAACAGUGAUGGCAUAUGUUGCUUGAUUGUUGUAGAAAACAACACAAAAAUCGUUUCAAGGGAGGAGUCAACGGAAGAUCACACAUUAGUGUAGUUCCACAAUGGAUCAUGACCAAAGACCUCGAUACCAGCAUGCGCCAAGCAGCAUAACCUUGCGUGUACAUUCACAAGGGGCUCUCAGUUUCGUCGCGGCACCAAAAAUCAUUAAUCGUGACACCAUUACCGAAGUCGCACCAAUAAUGAAUCUCACGGCGUAAGAACAAAAGUAUGCAGAGAUGACAUAUCGAUAUAGUCUAAUAAUGGAUUACAACUACUAACUGUGAUACCAGCUCGUGCCAAGUAGCGCAACCAUGUGCUGAUCACCCACAGGAGGCCCUCGGUUUCGUCGCGGCACCAUCAAUUUUAGUCAUAACGCCAUUACCAGACGUAACCAAUAAGAAAUCUCAUGCGGCACAAAUAGACUGAGCCAGGGUGACAAUAUACAAAAUAGACUCCAUUAAGAAUGGUUACAAGUAGAGAGCCAAAUAGAUCAUGGACCGAUGAAACGAACAAGACAUGGUCAAGACCUAAAUCGGUUGAUGAAGGGAGUACGAUAAGAGACUGUUAAUUCAGCCCCAAGCAUAUUUCUAUGCCCAUCGCAAAGAUUACAAGGUCGAUGAUUAAUGUCAGAUUAGAUAUAGAGGGGACACAAUCAUAAGACUAAAUUGAGAAGCCUUAGAGAGAUAUGAGAAAUCGAAGGCAUUAAAUUCAAGAAAAUAAUUGGGCACUCCUUUCCUAGGUUGGACUGAGAAAGCAACAAGGUGAUCCUGAUGGAGAUGCAAACUGACAUAGAGAUAUCAGCUUGCACCAACCGAACAAAGGUAUGUUUUAGGAUGAAAAUAUGACCAUAAGAGCUACAAGUUGGCUGUUAAGAUCAGGGACUCGAGAUAUUUUUUUAAGUUUGAAUGCAUCAUAGGUCCAAUAAGGGAAUUACCUAAACAUCUUUUAUAUGAGCUUGAUCACAAAGUAACGACGAAAAAAAUUCAGACUCGUCCACGUUUGGAAACUGGGGAAAAAUUUCAAAGAAUUUACAUCGAUUUGGGUCAUGGCUCCUAGAUGAGGACAUGGCCUAAUUUUGAGUUUAUGCAAACAUACCACCAACAUUCUAUCGGCACACAGGCACAAAAAUAAACAUAAGUUGCACUAUCGGUCAAACUAAGAAGAACCACAGACCACAUAAACACAUGUCUAAAGGACACCUCAAAUAAAGCUAGAAAUUUGCUUAUAGGACAGUCAUACUUCAAACAUUUUCCAAUUAUUUAUUAUCGAAAUAAAGAUGAGAAAAGCAUAUUCGUUUACAACCACCAAUUAUUAGAAUAAGGGCAAGAGAAGCAUAUUUGUGCACAAACAACAAACACAAUGCAACAAUCAGGAUGCAUGCUCGUCCUAUUCGUCCUCACGAAUUUUGCCAACUUAAUGUGGCAAUAGCGUUCUAUAUCGGUGGCAUAUCUACGUUCUCUCUCGAUAUGUUGCUAGUCGUCAGCUACACAUACGAGUUCGAAGUUAGUGUACCUGCAGAAAAUUCCAUCACAGCCCAAUUCCCAAUGAUGCAAUUCACACAUGACAGUUUAUCACAGUUUAUACUCCAUAUAUUUCUAUAUGGAGGCCAGCUCAUCAUUAAGCGUCGAGCCACGCAUAGGCGCCGCUGCCACACUUUAACCAUAGGGCAGCCCAUUAUGGUAACUCACCUUCUUACCUGAGCGUAGGUGCGUCGUUGCAAAGACAUUACACUUCUCAGUAUUCUCAUGUCUGUAUACCCAUACACAUCCAUGGGGUACUGAAUCCCAAAAAGUAAAUACUCCACAUCGCAGCCUUCAUAUAUACAUAUGUAAAACAUGUAUAUAAUCAAGCGCUUUUUAUACUCUCCCCUAGACCGACGUUUGUUCAGUCAUGCUCUCACAUCUCACCUUACCUUGAGCGUCGAUCCAUUCAAAACUGAAUGGCCUCAAAAAAAUAACAUUACACAUGUAUGCAUUCCCAGGUUGUGGGUUAGUAUUUUGAUCAAAGCCACCUGAUAGUCCUUAAUUUAGGGCUUAACAGAGGAUGUCACUAGCAUAAUAGUUUUUCAAAGCUAUUUUUCAAAGCCAAACAAUGUGUUUAGUUGAAAAUAGGUUUUCCAAAACCAAAAUCUUUGUUUUGAAAAUACGUAUGUGACCGUAUUAUACUUAAUCACGCUCCGAUACCAGCUGUCGCAGAACCUCCCAAGUUAUCGGGCCCACAUGCACCUGUCCUUGUCUCAAAGACCUCAGACAGCUAUGCAUGUGCACCAAACAACUUAACAGGAUCUGUCCGAGUGCCCCGAGGACCCCGGAUAAACGACUUACCGCCAAGAUCGCAAGAUUAAGUAAACACAAAUCACACACCAUCAUUUGCAGCGGAAAUAAAUUCUUUAUUGCAAAAUGAUUACAUGUUACAAUAAGUUUACAUUAUACAAUUAUCGGAGUGAUUACAAAAGAAAGUGAUUCAAAAGAAUUAUAAUUUAAAAUGUAUAAAAUAUUUAUAGUUUUUAAAAUACAUGCUAACUUAAGUGACAAUCCUCAAUAAAGAAGCUAAAGAUGGGAUAUACUUAUAUAAGAAGGCCGAGCCCAUCGGCACUUAGCACCAUCCACAACAGAACAAAAUUUCAACCUGAAAAACAACAGGGAAUAAAACCCUGAGUACGCAAUUACUCAGCAAGACUUACCCGACUAAAGAAAAGACUCUCAAGGGUAUGCUGGUUUGUCGGGAAUUAAGGUAAAGCUUAUCGAAUUUCAAAGACACGUUUUCGCAGAAAAGCUUACUAGUAGUGGAUCCUUAUGCCAAACUUUUACUUCACAAAUUAAGUAUUUUUCCUGAAUUUAGAUUUGCCUAAUCUAGAGCAUUCACUUGUCCUACACUAGCU
This 8183-nucleotide long non-coding RNA is filed under the name Zea mays. RNAcentral describes it as "long non-coding RNA (ZMAY_LNC003101)". The record is from RNAcentral. Lineage: Eukaryota; Viridiplantae; Streptophyta; Magnoliopsida; Poales; Poaceae.